This 480-nucleotide ribosomal RNA is filed under the name uncultured bacterium. RNAcentral describes it as "bacterial SSU rRNA". It matches the Rfam family "Bacterial small subunit ribosomal RNA", at positions 28 to 507 of the family's 1533-position model. The record is from RNAcentral.
GACGAACGCUGGCGGCGUGCCUAACACAUGCAAGUCGAGCGGAGUCGAUCGACGGAAGCCUUCGGGCGGAAGAUGGUUGACUUAGCGGCGGAUGGGUGAGUAACGCGUGGGCAACCUGCCUCGAAGACCGGGAUAACAGCCCGAAAGGGCUGCUAAUACCGGAUGUGGUCAAGGAUCCGCAUGGAUUUUUGAUUAAAGGGGAAACCCGUUUCGAGAUGGGCCCGCGUCCUAUCAGCUAGUUGGUGAGGUAAAAGCUCACCAAGGCGACGACGGGUAGCCGGCCUGAGAGGGUGACCGGCCACACUGGAACUGAGACACGGCCCAGACUCCUACGGGAGGCAGCAGUAGGGAAUAUUGCGCAAUGGGCGAAAGCCUGACGCAGCGACGCCGCGUGGGUGAUGAAGGCCUUCGGGUUGUAAAACCUGUCCUUGGGAAGAAGGAAGUGACGGUACCAACGGAGGAAGCCCGGCUAACUACGUG